GACGAACGCUGGCGGCGUGCUUAACACAUGCAAGUCGAACGGAAAGGCCCUGCUUUUGUGGGGUGCUCGAGUGGCGAACGGGUGAGUAACACGUGAGUAACCUGCCCUUGACUUUGGGAUAACUUCAGGAAACUGGGGCUAAUACCGGAUAGGAGCUCCUGCUGCAUGGUGGGGGUUGGAAAGUUUCGGCGGUUGGGGAUGGACUCGCGGCUUAUCAGCUUGUUGGUGGGGUAGUGGCUUACCAAGGCUUUGACGGGUAGCCGGCCUGAGAGGGUGACCGGCCACAUUGGGACUGAGAUACGGCCCAGACUCCUACGGGAGGCAGCAGUGGGGAAUAUUGCACAAUGGGAGGAAGCCUGAUGCAGCAACGCCGCGUGCGGGAUGACGGCCUUCGGGUUGUAAACCGCUUUCGCCUGUGACAAAGCGUGAGUGACGGUAAUGGGUAAAGAAGCACCGGCUAACUACGUG
RNAcentral lists this ribosomal RNA (468 nucleotides) under uncultured bacterium. RNAcentral describes it as "partial 16S ribosomal RNA". It matches the Rfam family "Bacterial small subunit ribosomal RNA", at positions 28 to 507 of the family's 1533-position model. The record is from RNAcentral.